UACGUAGGGGGCAAGCGUUAUCCGGAUUUACUGGGUGUAAAGGGAGCGUAGACGGCAGGGCAAGUCUGGAGUGAAAGGCAGGGGCCCAACCCCUGGACUGCUCUGGAAACUGUCCGGCUGGAGUGCAGGAGAGGUAAAUGGAAUUCCUAGUGUAGCGGUGAAAUGCGUAGAUAUUAGGAGGAACACCAGUGGCGAAGGCGGCUUACUGGACUGUAACUGACGUUGAGGCUCGAAAGCGUGGGGAGCAAACAGG
This 253-nucleotide ribosomal RNA is filed under the name uncultured bacterium. RNAcentral's name for it is "partial 16S ribosomal RNA". It matches the Rfam family "Bacterial small subunit ribosomal RNA", at positions 524 to 776 of the family's 1533-position model. The record is from RNAcentral.